GGUCGGCCACCACCCUUGGUGGCGGAGCCAUGGCGGCAGCGCCGCAUGAUGGGGGUCCCGGCUAGGGCGUAGCAAGGGUUGCAGGAAUGAUGGUGACAGGGAGGAGGGGGUGUGCAAUGGAGUGGGGUUUGGCUCGGGCAGUGGUAGUAUGUGACGGUGAUUAGGUGGUCGUCGGUCUCACGUCGCCACCAAUCACCUGGUGGCGGGGAUUCUGUGAUGAGGUGGAAGAAGAGAGAUAGAGAGGGUGAAGGUGGUGAUUGAAAUCAGUUUGGUGAAGAAUCGAUGUAACUGGGAUCGAGAUCUGUAAUCUGUGCAAAUUUCAGUGAACAUUUUGUAUAGAUAGAAGGUAUCUUCUUUGAUUGGUAAUAUUCAUUGAUUACAGUGUUUGAAAAAAUCAAAAUCUCCAGGUGAUAUUCAUUGAUUAAAGUGUUUGAAAAAUCAUAAUUGGUUAUUCAAGACAACAACUUUACUAAAGAGUGUGUGUUUUAGUGAGAGAAACGAUUCUGAUUUUGGAGAGAGAGAACUGAGAUUGAGGGAAAUUGAAAGAAGAAAGUGAAAGAGGAUAAGGGUUUGGUCUGGGUUGGGUGUGGCUGUGGCAACUGGAAAUGAAAUAAGAAAAUAGAUAUUUUAAAUAUAGUGGUAGAAUUACUAAUAUACCCUCAUGUUCAAGUCACAUGUUAUAUUUAACUGAAAAUUUUAACUUGGUUUGU
Molecule: long non-coding RNA, 710 nt
Filed under: Helianthus annuus (common sunflower)
Lineage: Eukaryota; Viridiplantae; Streptophyta; Magnoliopsida; Asterales; Asteraceae
Description: hypothetical non coding rna
Source: RNAcentral